AAAUGGAGUCUGACUCUGUGGCCCAGGCUGGAGUGCAGUGGCACAAUUUUGGCUUGCUGCAACCUCUACCUCCCAGGUUCAAGCGAUUCUCUUGCCUUGACCUUCCAAGUAACUGGGAUUACAGAUGGAGUCUUGCUGUGUGCCCAGGCUGGAGUGCAAUGGCUCCAUCUAAGCUCUCUGCAGCCUCCGCCUUCUGGGUUCAAGCAAUUCUACUGCCUCAGCCUCCUGAGUAACUGGGAUCACAGGCAUGUGCCACCAUGCUCAUCUAAUUUUUUUUUUUUUUUUUGUAUUUUUAGUAAAGACGAGGUUUCACCAUGUUGGCCAGGCUGGUCUCGAACUCCUGACCUUGUGAUCUGCCCGCCUCGGUCUCCCGAAGUGCUGGGAUGACAGGCAUGAGCCACUGUGCCCAGCCUCAAAGAUUCUUAUGAGUCUCGCAGAUGCCAGAGAAGAUGCCAUGACCUACACUUGCAAACUCCCAGAAGACUUAAAGCUAUUGUUUUGCAAAUGCACAGAUAAGUAUAAAUAACAUGACGCUGUGGAUGAGCAUGAAAGUUUUUCUCUUACUCCUAAUUAUGAUGUUUUCUAUCUUACCACUUUGCCCUGCUGAUGGAAUUCAAUAAAGGAAUCUCUACCAGCAGGCACUUGGUUUUUACCCUUCCUAGGACCUUUAACAGAUAUCUUGUUAUUACUAAUCUUUGAUCCUUGCUUGUUUAACCUCCUUGUAAAGUUUGUGUCUUCUAGAUUACAAUAAUUUCAUGUAAAGAUGAUGCUGGCACAAGGCUUCCAACCCAUCCCCACUUCUGACCCAGAAAAUAAAGACAUCCUGCCUUUGGGCCUUUUAGAACAGGUAUCCAGAGAUUAUACUUCUCCAAUGCUAAGCAGGGUCUACGCCCAUAACAUCAACAGGAAGCAGUUACAGAAGAUGAAUCUCUACCCUUCUGCAAGCCCAUUAAGAUUAAGGAGGAGUGUAUAAUCUCUGACGGGGAAAUGAGGUAGGAGACCAGUAGGACUUAUUUUCCAGUCACAACCCCAUUGAACAGAGCAGGAUCUGGUCAAAACAGGGCGCAGUGAAGAAGCCUGCUGAAACCAGCGGAUGAUGAUGAAAGUGACCUCUAGUUGCCCUCACUGCUUGUGAGCAUAAAGACACUACCACUGGGACAUGGCCAAUUUACAAAUGUCAUGGCAACACACCUUGGCAAUGACCUGGAAGUUACUUUAUAUGGUUCUGGAAACUCCCUGUCCCUUUUCCAGAAAGUAUUGAAUAAUCUACCCCUUAAUUGGCAUGUAAUUAAAAGUGGGUCUAAAUACAACUAGCUAGCAGCCCACAGGCACCAACUCUGGGCACACUGCCUAUGGAUUAGCCCUGCUCUGCAAGAAGCAGCACCAGUUCAAUAAAAGUUGCUUUCUCUCA
Long non-coding RNA from Rhinopithecus roxellana (golden snub-nosed monkey), 1411 nucleotides. RefSeq lists it as uncharacterized. The record is from RefSeq and is a predicted model, not a curated record. Lineage: Eukaryota; Metazoa; Chordata; Mammalia; Primates; Cercopithecidae. The transcript is spliced from 2 exons.